RNAcentral lists this small RNA (396 nucleotides) under Histoplasma capsulatum. RNAcentral describes it as "hypothetical RNA". RNAcentral also lists the same sequence under 1 other name. The record is from RNAcentral. Lineage: Eukaryota; Fungi; Ascomycota; Eurotiomycetes; Onygenales; Ajellomycetaceae.
CCACACAUCCCUCCAAUCUUGGCCUGCGGCAGUGAUUUCUAACUUCCAAGCCACUAUCCUCUCAAAUGAAUGUGUUUUUGGCUGCGGAUAAGUGUAGCAAUACUGCAUACUGUGUAAUGUUCCAGUUUACGGAGCAAAGAUACACAUCAGAUCAUAACCCCUUAAAGCCACAUGAAAUUAAGGUGGCUCUGGCCAAGUGUCUAUUCUUGCUAAUGAUGGAUAAUAAUAGACCACAUCAACCGCCCCUGCACAUUUCAUGGCUGACCAAAGCACCAGAGGCCCUCUGCAUAUGGCUCGCAAACAACGUAAAAGACAAACAGGGUAGAUUCGUUGGCAACCGAACGCGGAUGUGGGCAUAUAAGACGUUGCCCUCCGCACAACACUGGGCAUUCACCG